UGAAAAUACCAAUUUUACAAACAGGUACAUCUUGUGUAGGUUUUUUAUUUGCUGAUGAUAAUCCCUGAUCGUUCUUCCACUUACAGGGUGCUCCAAACUAUCCCUCUGAAUGGAGGAUCCCAGCUAGAGCAAUACCUGCUCCUUCUUAAGGCCUUUUCUGUCACAGGCUGAGUCAGGCAUCCAGACAGCUUUUGCCGCUUUUAUGUAACCAGGCUGACAUCUGGAGAUCUAGGAACAAGCUAAGAAAGAAUUCUGGACAACGACAUCUCUUAACAACCUGCAAUAAGAAAAUGUUAAUACAGUUUAUAUAAGAGAAACAAAAUAAAAGUUACAGAUAUGUGGAAGGCAA
Molecule: long non-coding RNA, 349 nt
Organism: Pantherophis guttatus
Lineage: Eukaryota; Metazoa; Chordata; Lepidosauria; Squamata; Colubridae
Source: RefSeq, a predicted model, not a curated record